GAUGAAGGCAAAGAGGAAGAGCGGGAAAGCAGGCGGGAGCCAGGCUGCACGGAUUCCAGGAGUCUUCAUGCAGAUGCAGCAUCUGGUUCCUAGGAGAGGACAUUGUGCCCAUCUUGCCAGCCCACCCAGGACAGUUGUGCUCAGCGCUGCUCGCUGUAGGCACAGGGAGAGGCAGAGAUGACAGCUGCUGCUGAUGGACACGCAGAAUACUUACAGCUAAGAGAGGCCGACUGGAGCGGACUAAUUGGCUGGGGUUGACAGAUUGGUAAUCUAGCUGGCCCAGGCUCACAUCUUGGAUCCUAAAGCAGAAGGAAGAGUCGAGAGAGACAGGCAACGGACCUGGAUGACUGCAAGUGGAGCAGGUGCAGAAGUUGAAGCAUAGCCUGUGAGAUGGACAGGAGCAGGUGGUUAGGGGGAUAAGUCAAUUACUGGGAGAGAGGCUGAUGAGGACUGAAGUCAAGGAAGAACAGGUUGGAGGGCUACAGCUGAGGAGCUCCUCUGGAA
RNAcentral lists this long non-coding RNA (504 nucleotides) under Ictidomys tridecemlineatus (thirteen-lined ground squirrel). Its description in RNAcentral is "lncRNA (ENSSTOG00000034754.1)". The record is from RNAcentral. Lineage: Eukaryota; Metazoa; Chordata; Mammalia; Rodentia; Sciuridae.